GGUUUAUUAGUAUAGUGGUUAUUGCACUCGGUUGUCAGCCGAGUAACACGAGUUCGAUUCUCGUAUAGACCG
Molecule: transfer RNA, 72 nt
Rfam family: tRNA
About the family: Transfer RNA (tRNA) molecules are approximately 80 nucleotides in length.
Source: Rfam